AUGAGUCUGAGAGUUGGAGCAAAAACUUCCGAAAUAUGGGAAUAUUUCAGGCCAACUGCUAAAAGAGUUGUCGGUACACUCUGUUAAACUUCACUUGGAAACACACAGGAGGUGUUCAAGACGUUUGGAGCGGUUUGUUUCUCUCCUCCAUGUCUCCUCCGGGGCUCCAAAGAUGCACUCACAGAAAAGAAGAAGUCAACACUAACCUCACCUCAUAACGAGGCUGUGACCUAUAUUUGCUCGGAGCUGUCUGCAAGUCCAGAUUUACAUGACGCUGAUAAUGACGCCAUUGUGUCUGCCUGUAAGACAAAUUACGAGACAGCACGCAGGAACUUCAGCUAGAAACAACCAGAUGUGGCAUCGCGGGCAGAAGCUGUGAAGAGCUCAGCUCUGAGUCGGUCGAGAAGAA
Molecule: long non-coding RNA, 409 nt
Organism: Perca flavescens (yellow perch)
Lineage: Eukaryota; Metazoa; Chordata; Actinopteri; Perciformes; Percidae
Exons: 3
Source: RefSeq, a predicted model, not a curated record